GUAGGUGGCAAGCGUUGUCCGGAAUUAUUGGGCGUAAAGCGCGCGCAGGCGGUUCUUUAAGUCUGAUGUGAAAGCCCACGGCUCAACCGUGGAGGGUCAUUGGAAACUGGAGAACUUGAGUACAGAAGAGGAAAGCGGAAUUCCACGUGUAGCGGUGAAAUGCGUAGAGAUGUGGAGGAACACCAGUGGCGAAGGCGGCUUUCUGGUCUGUAACUGACGCUGAGGCGCGAAAGCGUGGGGGAGCAAACAGGAUUAGAUACCCUGGUAGUCCACGCCGUAAACGAUGAGUGCUAAGUGUUAGGGGGGUUUUCCGCCCCUUAGUGCUGCAGCUAACGCAUUAAGCACUCCCGCCUGGGGAGUACGGCCGCAAGGCUGA
RNAcentral lists this ribosomal RNA (376 nucleotides) under uncultured organism. RNAcentral's name for it is "partial 16S ribosomal RNA". It matches the Rfam family "Bacterial small subunit ribosomal RNA", at positions 527 to 897 of the family's 1533-position model. The record is from RNAcentral.